This 491-nucleotide ribosomal RNA is filed under the name uncultured bacterium. RNAcentral's name for it is "partial 16S ribosomal RNA". It matches the Rfam family "Bacterial small subunit ribosomal RNA", at positions 29 to 507 of the family's 1533-position model. The record is from RNAcentral.
GUGCACGCUGGCGGUAGGCCUAACCCCUGCAAGUCGAACGGCAGCACCGUAAGAGCUUGCUCUUACGGGUGGCGAGUGGCGGACGGGUGAGGAAUACAUCGGAAUCUACUUUUUCGUGGGGGAUAACGUAGGGAAACUUACGCUAAUACCGCAUACGACCUACGGGUGAAAGCAGGGGAUCUUCGGACCUUGCGCGAUUGAAUGAGCCGAUGUCGGAUUAGCUAGUUGGCGGGGUAAAGGCCCACCAAGGCGACGAUCCGUAGCUGGUCUGAGAGGAUGAUCAGCUACACUGGAACUGAGACACGGUCCAGACUCCUACGGGAGGCAGCAGUGGGGAAUAUUGGACAAUGGGCGCAAGCCUGAUCCAGCCAUACCGCGUGGGUGAAGAAGGCCUUCGGGUUGUAAAGCCCUUUUGUUGGGAAAGAAAAGCAGCAGGUUAAUACCCCGCUGUUCUGACGGUACCCAAAGAAUAAGCACCGGCUAACUUCGUG